GCGGAAAUAGCUCAAUGGUAGAGCGUUGCCUUGCCAAGGCAAAGGUUGAAGGUUCGAAUCCAUUUUUCCGCU
Molecule: transfer RNA, 72 nt
Filed under: Jaagichlorella roystonensis
Lineage: Eukaryota; Viridiplantae; Chlorophyta; Trebouxiophyceae; Watanabeales; Watanabeaceae
Description: tRNA-Gly
Rfam family: tRNA
About the family: Transfer RNA (tRNA) molecules are approximately 80 nucleotides in length. Their secondary structure includes four short double-helical elements and three loops (D, anti-codon, and T loops).
Source: RNAcentral